GACGUAGGGCGCGAGCGUUGUCCGGAAUCAUUGGGCGUAAAGGGCGCGUAGGUGGCGGGACAAGCGUGCGGUGAAAGCUCGGGGCUCAACCCCGAGUCGGCCGUGCGAACUGUUUUGCUGGAGCACUGUAGAGGCAGGCGGAAUUCCGGGUGUAGCGGUGGAAUGCGUAGAGAUCCGGAAGAACACCGGUGGCGAAGGCGGCCUGCUGGGCAGUUGCUGACACUGAGGCGCGACAGCGUGGGGAGCAAACAGG
Molecule: ribosomal RNA, 253 nt
Filed under: uncultured bacterium
Lineage: Bacteria
Description: partial 16S ribosomal RNA
Rfam family: Bacterial small subunit ribosomal RNA
Source: RNAcentral